CUACAAUGGCUCUUAAUUGCCUUUCGAAUCUAAUUAAAACUUCUUCAAGACCCUCUUCUAAUUAACUCCAUAGGAGGCUCCCUUAGCGGCCAUCUCAAGCCGGGUGCCUCCUGUGCUCUGGCCCAGCGACCAAACCAGCUACUUCCUUUUCCUGCUUCCGCUCCUCUCCUUGGGCCAAUCUCCUCCUACCUAGAGGGACCAUUUUUUUCUUUUUAUCUGCCAAAGCACUCUGUUUUUUUUAACAGAAAGAGUGCUAAAUUACCUUUCCCUCCCAACUUUGAUUACUCCAACUAAGGAUCCUAAUCGGUGAAACGUGGGUGUGUUCUUUUGGAAAUGCGUGUGUUUUCACGUCCAGGCAUAAGCAACGCCUUGUUUCAGGGAGCAGCGCCCACACAUUGGUUCAGGACUCCAUGCGUUUGGUAGAAGGCUUGCGGGCUUGGGGCUAGUGUUUUGGUUUUUCUUGCAAACAGUGACGGCUCAUCUAGUGUGCAGUCCUUGGUUCCCGCCCGGAGACUUCCCCGUUCCGCCUUCUCUUCUCUUCCUCGCCCGCAAGGCGCGCUGCCCCUGGGGUUUUCAGCAACUUCCGCAGACCCUCCGCCCGCAUCCCGGCGCGGCGGGGCCGGGGAAGCCCCAGGGCUCCCCAAGCGUUCAGAAGGAAACCAUCUAGGCUACAGACCUUGGAGCGCGGCUGGGGUCCCCCGGGAGCGGAUCGCGGGUCGCGCAGGUCAUUUCCCGGCGGGAACACCACCUCGUCUGAGCUGGGCGGCUUCUCCCGGUCCCCGGCUGCAGGAUGCUGGGCCCCCCGCUGCUCCCUUCCGCGUGGCGGCUCGGGCCGCCAACCGAUCGCCUCUUGCCUCCCCCACUUGAACUCCUGGGGAGACAGUGUUUGUAAAACUUGGCCCUGGCCCAGCCCCGUCCGCCCCACUUUGCCAACAAGAAGAGGGAGGGCAGCUCUGAGCGGCCUCGGGCGAACCUCGCCCCGCCUGCACUUAAGGCGCCGGGCCCAGCCCGCGCCUUCGGGUCUCCAGCCGGGACAGGCGCGCGGACUCCGCUUUGCCAGGGUGCGACCCUCACCUGGGAUUCCAGCUCUGGUGAGGCCCGGCGUCACCGGGAACCUCUGUCCCUACCCGGCUGCGCGCCCCACGGGGGCCUUCUGGCGCUGGCACAGGGAGGGACUGGCCGGGCUACUCCCUAAGGUGGUGGAAGGGACCUGAGGGUGGUGGCAGGACUCUCUGAGUCGGAUGGGACCCCCCUGAACGGCGGAGUGGGAGAUCGGCUUCCGACACAGCCUCUCCGGGCAACUCCGGAAUGUCGCAGAGCUCCUGAUGGAUGCAAACUGUCUUUAUUUGCAAGCCUAGUGACUGGAUGUGGCCCUCAAGCUUUGGACCUCUCUACAGGUGGGAGGCCUGCAUCGAUUCAGGAUGAGCUGCUGGUGUUUUCUUGCAGUUGCCUCCUCUGCCCUCUUCUCUUGGGGCUCCUUCUUCCACGAUUGCCUCUAUCAAGCAGAAAACCGUGUCCUGGGCCCAACUUUGCAGAGACAAACGGAAAAGCUGCGCAGGCAGAAAGCUAGGAGAUUCACUGCCCCUGGACCCUCGACCCUUAGUCACCUCUGUGCCCCCAUGGCAUCUAUGCCCGGGCCAAGCGCGCCCCCGGAGAGACCUCGCCAACUCAGCGCGACUACAACUUCCCCGGGGGCGGCGGUCGCACCCUGGGCAUCUGCCCUCGUUCUCCUGACCAUCAGAUCUCCUCUCGCCAGAUAACCAGAUCUGCCUGUCGUCUACCCUCUCUCGGCCUCCCAGGAUCUGCCUGGACAAGGAGUGUGCUGGAAUGGCCCAGAAGGUCUGGGCUGUUCAACCUCCCCCUAAAGGGUUGGGGCGUCCGCCUCUGGAGCCUCAGAGAAUCUCCAUGUCUGGCGAAAACACUUAGAGAAUCCAGUGCUGUGGAACACAAAAUUCCUCGGACGGAAUGAGAUUUCUUAAGAGCAGGACGGAGGACUCCCAACACUUUGCACAAGGAUUUGCCCAAACAGUAGAGCCCAGUAAUUCACAAUGGCUGAUUUUACAAGCCCGCAAGAAACUUUUUUUUUCCCACUCUGCUGCCGAACUUUGGCCAUAUUUAGUUGUGCGUGGCUUUUUUCUUUCUUUCUUUUUGAACAACAAACCCAGAGGAAACACUGGUGGGAGGAAAAAUACAUGCUCCAAAUCAAAAUGGAUGCAGAUUCAAAUUUACUCCACCGCGAGGUUUCCUAUCACCGUCGUUCUGCACACUGAGAGUUAAUCGUAUACAAUUUAU
This is a long non-coding RNA of Bos taurus (domestic cattle), 2292 nucleotides long. The record is from Ensembl. NCBI's taxonomy places the organism in Eukaryota, Metazoa, Chordata, Mammalia, Artiodactyla, Bovidae.